Molecule: ribosomal RNA, 471 nt
Filed under: uncultured bacterium
Lineage: Bacteria
Description: bacterial SSU rRNA
Rfam family: Bacterial small subunit ribosomal RNA
Source: RNAcentral
AACUAACGCUGGCGGCGUGCCUAACACAUGCAAGUCGUACGAGAAAGUUGGCUUCGGCCGAUGAGUACAGUGGCGCACGGGUGAGUAACGCGUGGAUAAUCUGCCCUUAAGUGUGGAAUAACGUACCGAAAGGUGCGCUAAUACCGCAUAAUGCCUGGCAACAUAAGUUGUCCGGCCAAAGAAGGCCUCUGCUUGCAAGCUUUCGCUAAAGGAUGAGUCCGCGUACCAUUAGCUAGUUGGUGGGUAACGCCUACCAAGGCGACGAUGGUUAGCUGGUCUGAGAGGAUGAUCAGCCACACUGGAACUGAGACACGGUCCAGACUCCUACGGGAGCAGCAGUGAGGAAUAUUGCGCAAUGGGGCAACCCUGACGCAGCAACGCCGCGUGAGUGAGGAAGGUUUUCGGACUGUAAAGCUCUGUCGAGCGGGAAGAAGUGUACCAUGGCUAAUAUCCAUGAUAUUUGACGUACCG